This 1927-nucleotide long non-coding RNA is filed under the name Marmota monax (woodchuck). Lineage: Eukaryota; Metazoa; Chordata; Mammalia; Rodentia; Sciuridae. The record is from RNAcentral.
ACUAAGUUCUACAAUUAAUACUGUUUUCCUUUUCACAUUGGUUACUAAAAGCCAAAGACCAAAAUUUCAUUCAAAUCCUCAAGUAAAACAAAUAAGAGAAAUGAAAUCUAUUCUGAGUAUUAACUUUGCCCAUAGUUUUAAUUUAUUUUUUUCUUAGUCUUAUUUUCCUUUCUUAUUUAUUUAUUUAUUUUGGUACUAGGGAUGGAACCCAGGGGCACUCAACCACUGACCUUAAUCCCAGCCCUUUUUAUAUUUAUUUAUUUAUUUAUUUAUUUAUUUAUUUAUUUAUUUAUUUAUUUUAUUUGAGACAGGGUCUCACUAAGUUGCCCAGGCUGGCCUUGAACUUGUGAUCCUCCUAUCUCAGUCUCCUGAGUUGCUGGAAUUACAGGCAUGCACCACCACACCUGGAGCCUUAUUUUCUCUAAUUUUUUUGAUUUAGGAAAAAAGUUACAUGAUAUUUAUUCAUGUGUUCUACAAAUAAUCAUUGAACAAGCAGCACUUCAAGUGCUAGGGACAGAACAAUGAAUAAAACCAAUUCCUUGCUCUCAUGGAGCUGGCUUUCUAGUAAGGAAAGACAGGCCAAAAAAAAAAAAAAUGAAAUGAAACAAAAGUACAUUGGAAGGUGUUAGGUGUCGUGAGUUGAGAAAGUGAGGAGAUGGAGACUGAGAUACCAAUAGCACACAGAAAGGCUGCCAUUGUGGAAGGACGGCCUCUUAGGUCAGGGGACAUUGGACUCAAUGAAUGAGGUGUGAGGAUACCUGGGGGAAGAUUGUACCAAGCAGAGGGAAUAGCAUGUGCAAAGGCCCUGAGGUGGUAGGUUGAUGGUGUGUUCAGUGCUAAGAAUGCAGUUUGGCUGCAGGGAAAGUAAGAGGGGAAAAUGAUGGGACCUGAGAGCAGAGAGAUAGGGAAGUCAGACCAGGGAGGAUAUUGCAGAUCCUGGAAAGGACUUCAGAGUUUUAUUCUGAGGAGAUGGGAGCUGUCAGUUUUGGAGAUCAUGAUCUAACAUAUAAGAGACAUCUGACAGCUAUUUCAAUAAUGGACUGAGAGUGAGGGGAGAAGCAGGAAGACCAGAAAGGAGGCAACUUGUGGUGAGCCGCUUCUGCCGUUUCUGCAGACUAUGGUCGCCAUUACAAGAUGACGCUGGCUUCACUGUGGUCUGUGACAAACAACUUCUUAUCUGGGAAAGUUGGCACAUGAUUUUUCACCACCCUGUGAGAAAGCUCCACGCGGCAGCUUUGCAUUGGGGCUUGGGAUGCUUUAUUAAGGCUGGGAGGGGCAUCCGAGAGAGAGAAGAAGAAAUAUCCAGGGCCUGAAUAAACUGUUGAAAGAAGAUUCCCGAGUUGCGUCUUCCUUGCGGGCAAGGGGUCGCGACAGCAACUGAAUAGUCUUCCAGAACAUGCAAACAGGAUGGUAACAGUGGAAGCUGUCAACAGUGGUAUUUUUGGCACAUUUUGAAGGUAAGACCAGCAGGAUGUGCUAAGGAUUCAACAGCAGGUAUAAACAACUCUGAAAAGCUGAAAAUGACAUUGAUGGGGAGUAGCAUGGCCUACUGCAAUGGUCCUUGCAGCCAUCUGGGGAAUGGAGAAGACUGUCAGUGCUUGGCCUACCUCCUGGGAAGUCUGGCUUUAUUCUGUGGUAGAACCCUACAUUGUAUUGUUUGAAAGCUUCUCCAGGAGACAGAACCACUGGGAGAGUACAAAAAGCACCGGUUACGAAUCAGACCACCUGAGUGUGAAUCUCUCCUCUGCCAUUUCCUAGAAUGUGACUUCAGGUAAGUUAUUUAGGUUUUGUUGCUGUUGUGAUUGAUUGAUUGGUACUGGGGAUUGAACUCAGGGGCACUCCACCACUGAGCCACAUCCCCAGUCCUAUUUUUUAUUUUAUUUAGAGACAGAGUCUCACUGAGCUGCUAAGGCUGGCUUUGAACUCG